RNAcentral lists this ribosomal RNA (468 nucleotides) under uncultured bacterium. Its description in RNAcentral is "partial 16S ribosomal RNA". It matches the Rfam family "Bacterial small subunit ribosomal RNA", at positions 28 to 507 of the family's 1533-position model. The record is from RNAcentral.
GACGAACGCUGGCGGCGUGCUUAACACAUGCAAGUCGAACGGAAAGGCCCUGCUUUUGUGGGGUGCUCGAGUGGCGAACGGGUGAGUAACAAGUGAGUAACCUGCCCUUGACUUUGGGAUAACUUCAGGAAACUGGGGCUAAUACCGGCUAGGAGCUCCUGCUGCAUGGUGGGGGUUGGAAAGUUUCGGCGGUUGGGGAUGGACUCGCGGCUUAUCAGCUUGUUGGUGGGGUAGUGGCUUACCAAGGCUUUGACGGGUAGCCGGCCUGAGAGGGUGACCGGCCACAUUGGGGCUGAGAUACGACCCAGACUCCUACGGGAGGCAGCAGUGGGGAAUAUUGCACAAUGGGCGGAAGCCUGAUGCAGCAACGCCGCGUGCGGGAUGACGGCCUUCGGGUUGUAAACCGCUUUCGCCUGAGACGAAGCGUGAGUGACGGUAAUGGGUAAAGAAGCACCGGCUAACUACGUG